GCCGGCUUAGCUCAGUUGGUAGAGCGACGGUAUCGUAAACCGUAGGUCAGGUGUUCGAUUCACCUAGCCGGCA
This 73-nucleotide transfer RNA is filed under the name Pediococcus argentinicus. It matches the Rfam family "tRNA". Rfam says of the family: Transfer RNA (tRNA) molecules are approximately 80 nucleotides in length. Their secondary structure includes four short double-helical elements and three loops (D, anti-codon, and T loops). Further hydrogen bonds mediate the characteristic L-shaped molecular structure. tRNAs have two regions of fundamental functional importance: the anti-codon, which is responsible for specific mRNA codon recognition, and the 3' end, to which the tRNAs corresponding amino acid is attached (by aminoacyl-tRNA synthetases). tRNAs cope with the degeneracy of the genetic code in two manners: having more than one tRNA (with a specific anti-codon) for a particular amino acid; and 'wobble' base-pairing, i.e. permitting non-standard base-pairing at the 3rd anti-codon position. The record is from Rfam by way of RNAcentral. Lineage: Bacteria; Bacillati; Bacillota; Bacilli; Lactobacillales; Lactobacillaceae.